GACGAACGCUGGCGGCGUGCUUAACACAUGCAAGUCGAACGGAAAGGCCCUGCUUUUGUGCGGUGCUCGAGUGGCGAACGGGUGAGUAACACGUGAGUAACCUGCCCUUGACUUUGUGAUAACUUCAGGAAACUGGGGCUAAUACCGGAUAUGAGCUCCUGCUGCAUGGUGGGGGUUGGAAAGUUUCGGCGGUUGGGGAUGGACUCGCGGCUUAUCAGCUUGUUUGUGGGGUAGUGGCUUUCCAAGGCUUUGACGGGUAGCCGGCCUGAGAGGGUGACCGGCCACAUUAGGACUGCGAUACGGCCCAGACUGCUACGGGAGGCAGCAGUGGGGAAUAUUGCACAAUGGGCGGAAGCCUGAUGCAGAAACGCCGCGUGCGGGAUGACGGCCUUCGGGUUGUAAACAGAUUUCGACUGUGACGAAGAGUGAGUGACGGUAAUGGGUAAAGAAGCACCGGCUAACUACGUG
Molecule: ribosomal RNA, 468 nt
Filed under: uncultured bacterium
Lineage: Bacteria
Description: partial 16S ribosomal RNA
Rfam family: Bacterial small subunit ribosomal RNA
Source: RNAcentral